RNAcentral lists this unclassified non-coding RNA (144 nucleotides) under uncultured fungus. RNAcentral's name for it is "sequence contains ITS1". The record is from RNAcentral. Lineage: Eukaryota; Fungi.
GUCAUUACAUUUUUUGCAACAUGAAAUAAAAACAAUAAAGCUUAUAUUGUGCAUCCGGAUUGCUCCGGAGCGCAUAUUGUCACACGGAAACUACCGCGCAACACUGAUUUGUUAAUGAUCCUUCCGCAGGUUCACCUACGGAAA